CUUGAAUAAAAUAAGAGGUCCAGCCUGCCCAGUGAAAUUAUUCAACGGCCGCGGUAUCCUAACCGUGCGAAGGUAGCGUAAUCACUUGUUCUUUAAAUGAGGACUAGUAUGAAUGGCACCACGAGGGUUCUACUGUCUCCUUUUUUUAAUCAGUGAAACUAAUCUCCCCGUGAAGAAGCGGGGAUCUUUAUAUAAGACGAGAAGACCCUAUGGAGCUUUAAACAACCAACAUUUGCUACACCAUAACAUUUUCCCUAAAAGAAGUAUAGCAUUAUGAUUAUUAGUUUUCGAUUGGGGUGAUCACGGAGUAAAAUAUAACCUCCAUGCCGAAAGGGUUCUUACCCUGAGCAAAAAGCCACAGCUUUAAACACUAAAAAAUUAACGCAGUUUGACCCAAUAUUUUGAUCAACGAAC
Molecule: ribosomal RNA, 414 nt
Filed under: Boana boans group sp. ABGD cluster 15
Lineage: Eukaryota; Metazoa; Chordata; Amphibia; Anura; Hylidae
Description: partial large subunit ribosomal RNA
Rfam family: Archaeal large subunit ribosomal RNA
Source: RNAcentral